RNAcentral lists this transfer RNA (72 nucleotides) under Camelus bactrianus (Bactrian camel). It matches the Rfam family "tRNA". Rfam says of the family: Transfer RNA (tRNA) molecules are approximately 80 nucleotides in length. Their secondary structure includes four short double-helical elements and three loops (D, anti-codon, and T loops). RNAcentral also lists the same sequence under 2 other names. The record is from Rfam by way of RNAcentral. Lineage: Eukaryota; Metazoa; Chordata; Mammalia; Artiodactyla; Camelidae.
GAGGGUAUAGUUCAGUGGUAGAGUGAGCACUUAGCGUGCAGGAGGUCCUGGGUUCAAUCCCCAGUACCGCCA